RNAcentral lists this long non-coding RNA (1814 nucleotides) under Marmota monax (woodchuck). The record is from RNAcentral. Lineage: Eukaryota; Metazoa; Chordata; Mammalia; Rodentia; Sciuridae.
AUUAUAUACAAUGAAUGCACAUAUUAUCCGUCCAUUUUUUUAAAAAACUAUAUUUUAUAAAAGGAAAUAGAAUUUAAUACGCAUUUAUGAUUAACUGAGGAUUGAAUCCAGGGAUGGUUACCAUUGAGUUAUAUCCCCAGCCCUUUUUAUAUUUUGAGACAAGAGUCUAGGCUAAGUUGCUGAGGGUAGCCUCAAACUUGUAAUCCUCCUGCCUCAACCUCCCAAGUCAUUGAAAUUACAUGCAUAUACAAUUCUUAAAGUAACACUUCUCAUUAGUAUGAAAAACCUUAUUAUUUGUAUUAUUUUUCUUUACUCAUCAUUAAUCCCUGACGCUUGUCUUUCUUUAACACUCAUUCCACCACUGCUUUUCCUAAAGAAGAGAAUGCUUAAUACUACCUUCCUUUUCAUAAUAAUCCACUUCCAUAAUCUUAGGUAGUUACUCUAGAGAUUAUUUCAAAUUUUAGGACAGAAUUUUGCCAGAAAUUGACUUUAAAAAAUGAAAGAAUGACCUGAUAAAUCUGGGGUGGCCAAAUAUGCUGCUUUGAUCAAAAAGCAAAGCUUCAGGGCUGGGGCUAUGAUUCAGUGAUAGAGCACUCACCUAGCAUGUGUGAGGCCCUGGGUUUGAUUCUCAGCACCAUAUAAAAAUAAAAGGUAUUGUGUUCAACUACAACUAAAAAAUAAAUAAGUGAAGCAUCAGUAAUUUUAACAAUCAAAAUGUGAAUAAAUGCGAGAAACAACUGGGUAAAUUAGUAGUCAGCUAAUGUCCUCAUGGAAAAAGUAUAAAAAUACUUAAAUUUAAUUUCACAGGAGGGCCAUGCAAGAAAAAUGUAUGGAUGAAAGAAAAUUCCAAACAGGCCAAAGCCUUUCCCCACAUACCCUAAUGAUGGCCAUCUUCCAAAAAGCACUUACUAUCUGGCUCUGGACUGAAAAUGUGGCCCCACCAGCAAAGGCACUAUUCUGGAGAAAAGAGAAACCCAGAAUGCAAUGUUAGAAUUUCUUUUACUUUGCGUAGCAUUUGCUGAAUUAUGUAGUAAGUUGAAAUAUUACACCAAAAAUAUUUUCAAGGAAGAGUGUGAUCUAGGACAUUUUGUAGCACUAAAUGGAAAAAUUCGUACUCAUUGUCUGGGGUAGCCAUAAAUUCAUGAACAGUGGUGACACAGCUGUGGCAUUUGUUGAGUUUUGAAUAUGCUUGUAACAGAUGCUAAACAUACUCAGGUCAGAAUCUCUGAAAAGAAGACAAAAUUGAAUCUCUUUCAGUCUUCCAAGGCUCAAAAGACAGAAACCUGCCAAUCUCUCAAUCAAAUACCCAAUUGGGCCAUGCCAAAACAAAGGCCUAAAAAGAACAGCUGUAUUACCUCUUGACAAACUGAAGGCAUCAUGAAUAUAGCUCAAUCUGUGAUUGAAUUGAGGUGAUUUGUACCUCACAAUGUUUUUCUAACUGUGCAAAUAGAGAAUUGUUUAGGUUAGAAUAAGUCAUCUGUAUCCUCUAUAAUUAUUUUACAACAAAAUAUUUUACAUACACGAAAUUGGCUAGAGAUGAUAGAAAACAAUCUGGAAAAAAAAACAAUUCUAGCUUGGUACCAGUCUCUUUAAAGUUUUAUCAGAAAAUGAAAUGCAAAUUUGUUCAAAUAUUGUCAUUGACUGAUUUUGUGCUACACAGUUAAGAAUUGAGUAUUUGGGUCAGAGAUGGUACAGCUGGCAAAGUGUAAAAUAUUUACUAUUUUGUUCUACUUACUAUGUUGUUCUUUACAGAAGGUUAAUAACUCUUGUCAUAGGUUGUUCACUAAAAAUAAAAUACAUUUAUGUAUUGAAAA